UACAGAGGUGGCAAACGUUGUCCGGAUUUAUUGGGUGUAAAGGGCAUGUAGGUGGUUUUGUAAGUCAAAGGUGAAAUGGCCCGGCUCAACCAGGUCAUUGCCUUUGAAACUGCAGAGCUUGAGUACGGAAGAGGAAAGCGGAAUUCCCAGUGUAGCGGUGAAAUGCGUAGAUAUUGGGAGGAACACCGGUGGCGAAGGCGGCCCCCUGGUUGGAUACUGACGCUGAGACGCGAAAGCGUGGGGAGCAAACAGG
Molecule: ribosomal RNA, 253 nt
Filed under: uncultured prokaryote
Description: partial 16S ribosomal RNA
Rfam family: Bacterial small subunit ribosomal RNA
Source: RNAcentral